This 64-nucleotide transfer RNA is filed under the name Idioscopus nitidulus. Its description in RNAcentral is "tRNA-Gly". Lineage: Eukaryota; Metazoa; Arthropoda; Insecta; Hemiptera; Cicadellidae. The record is from RNAcentral.
AUUUAUUUAGUAUAAAAAGUAUAAUUAACUUCCAAUUAAUAGGACUAAAGAUUUAGAAUAAAUA